UACGUAGGGUGCAGGCGUUAAUCGGAAUUACUGGGCGUAAAGCGUGCGCAGGCGGUCUCUUAAGACAGGUGUGAAAUCCCCGGGCUUAACCUGGGAACUGCAUUUGUGACUGCAUGGCUAGAGUGCGGCAGAGGGAUGGGGAAUUCCGGGUGGAGUGGUGAAAUGCGUAGAGAUCCGGAAGAACACCAAAGGCGAAGGCACCAUCCUGGGGAGUCACUGACGCUCGGGUGCGAAAGCUAGGGGAGCGAACGGG
RNAcentral lists this ribosomal RNA (253 nucleotides) under uncultured bacterium. RNAcentral's name for it is "partial 16S ribosomal RNA". It matches the Rfam family "Bacterial small subunit ribosomal RNA", at positions 524 to 776 of the family's 1533-position model. The record is from RNAcentral.